RNAcentral lists this ribosomal RNA (468 nucleotides) under uncultured bacterium. RNAcentral describes it as "partial 16S ribosomal RNA". It matches the Rfam family "Bacterial small subunit ribosomal RNA", at positions 28 to 507 of the family's 1533-position model. The record is from RNAcentral.
GACGAACGCUGGCGGCGUGCUUAACACAUGCAAGUCGAACGGAAAGGCCCUGCUUUUGUGGGGUGCUCGAGUGGCGAACGGGUGAGUAACACGUGAGUAACCUGCCCUUGACUUUGGGAUAACUUCAGGAAACUGGGGCUAAUACCGGAUAGGAGCUCCUGCUGCAUGGUGGGGGUUGGAAAGUUUCGGCGGUUGGGGAUGGACUCGCGGCUUAUCAGCUUGUUGGUGGGGUAGUGGCUUACCAAGGCUUUGACGGGUAGCCGGCCUGAGAGGGUUACCGGCCACAAUAGGACUGAGAUACGGCCCAGACGCCUACGGGAGGCAGCAGGGGGGAAUAUUACACAAUGGGCGGAAGCGUGAUGCAGCAACGCCGCGUGCGGGAUGACGGCCUUCGGGUUGUAAACCGAUUUCGCCGGUGACGAAGCGUGAGUGACGGUAAUGGGUAAAGAAGCACCGGCUAACUACGUG